GACGAACGCUGGCGGCGUGCCUAAUACAUGCAAGUUGAGCGCUGAAGGUUGGUACUUGUACCAACUGGAUGAGCAGCGAACGGGUGAGUAACGCGUGGGGAAUCUGCCUUUGAGCGGGGGACAACAUUUGGAAACGAAUGCUAAUACCGCAUAAAAACUUUAAACACAAGUUUUAAGUUUGAAAGAUGCAAUUGCAUCACUCAAAGAUGAUCCCGCGUUGUAUUAGCUAGUUGGUGAGGUAAAGGCUCACCAAGGCGAUGAUACAUAGCCGACCUGAGAGGGUGAUCGGCCGCAUUGGGACUGAGACACGGCCCAAACUCCUACGGGAGGCAGCAGUAGGGAAUCUUCGGCAAUGGACGAAAGUCUGACCGAGCAACGCCGCGGGAGUGAAGAAGGUUGUCGGAUCGUAAAACUCUGUUGGUAGAGAAGAACGUUGGUGAGAGUGGAAAGCUCAUCAAGUGACGGUAACUACCCAGAAAGGGACGGCUAACUACGUG
Molecule: ribosomal RNA, 497 nt
Filed under: uncultured bacterium
Lineage: Bacteria
Description: partial 16S ribosomal RNA
Rfam family: Bacterial small subunit ribosomal RNA
Source: RNAcentral